RNAcentral lists this ribosomal RNA (439 nucleotides) under uncultured bacterium. Its description in RNAcentral is "partial 16S ribosomal RNA". It matches the Rfam family "Bacterial small subunit ribosomal RNA", at positions 339 to 795 of the family's 1533-position model. The record is from RNAcentral.
CUACGGGUCGCAGCAGUGAGGAAUAUUGCACAAUGGGGGGAACCCUGAUGCAGCAACGCCGCGUGGAGGAUGACGCAUUUCGGUGUGUAAACUCCUUUUAUAUGUCAAGAAAAUGACGGUAGCAUAUGAAUAAGCACCGGCUAACUCCGUGCCAGCAGCCGCGGUAAUACGGAGGGUGCAAGCAUUACUCGGAAUCACUGGGCGUAAAGGACGCGUAGGCGGGUUGGAAAGUCAGGUGUGAAAUCCUACAGCUUAACUGUAGAACUGCACUUGAAACUUCUAAUCUAGAGUAUGGGAGGGGGAGAUGGAAUUAGUGGUGUAGGGGUAAAAUCCGUAGAUAUCACUAGGAAUACCUAAAGCGAAGGCGAUCUCCUGGAACAUUACUGACGCUAAGGCGUGAAAGCGUGGGGAGCAAACAGGAUUAGAUACCCGAGUAGUC